RNAcentral lists this ribosomal RNA (496 nucleotides) under uncultured bacterium. RNAcentral's name for it is "bacterial SSU rRNA". It matches the Rfam family "Bacterial small subunit ribosomal RNA", at positions 28 to 505 of the family's 1533-position model. The record is from RNAcentral.
GACGAACGCUGGCGGCGUGCCUAAUACAUGCAAGUCGAGCGGACUUGUAGGAGCUUGCUCCUGCAGGUUAGCGGCGGACGGGUGAGUAACACGUGGGCAACCUACCUGUAAGACUGGGAUAACUUCGGGAAACCGGAGCUAAUACCGGAUGACAUAAAGGAACUCCUGUUCCUUUAUUGAAAGAUGGCUUCGGCUAUCACUUACAGAUGGGCCCGCGGCGCAUUAGCUAGUUGGUGAGGUAACGGCUCACCAAGGCGACGAUGCGUAGCCGACCUGAGAGGGUGAUCGGCCACACUGGGACUGAGACACGGCCCAGACUCCUACGGGAGGCAGCAGUAGGGAAUCUUCCGCAAUGGACGAAAGUCUGACGGAGCAACGCCGCGUGAACGAUGAAUCCCUUCGGGGUGUAAAGUUCUUUUAUAUGUGAGCAGUGCUUCUUAUAUUAACAGUAUGGGGAGAGAGAUAUUAGCAUAUGAAUAAGCAACGGCUAACUCCG